CCUACGGGGGGCAGCAGUGGGGAAUAUUGCGCAAUGGGCGAAAGCCUGACGCAGCGACGCCGCGUGAGGGAUGAAGGUCUUCGGAUCGUAAACCUCUGUCAGCAGGGAAGAACGGUCACUGUGCUAAUCAGCAGUGAAUUGACGGUACCUGCAAAGGAAGCACCGGCUAACUCCGUGGCAGCAGCCGCGGUAAUACGGAGGAUGCGAGCGUUAAUCGGAAUUACUGGGCGUAAGGCGCUCGUAGGCGGUAUGUCAAGUCAAGGGGUAAAUCCCCGCGCGCAACGGGGGAACUGCAUUUGAAGAUGGGAGACUGGAGGGUGGGAGAGGAUGGGGGAAGUCGGGGGGUAGGGGUGAGAUCCGUGG
Molecule: ribosomal RNA, 363 nt
Filed under: uncultured bacterium
Lineage: Bacteria
Description: partial 16S ribosomal RNA
Rfam family: Bacterial small subunit ribosomal RNA
Source: RNAcentral